Molecule: ribosomal RNA, 492 nt
Filed under: uncultured bacterium
Lineage: Bacteria
Description: partial 16S ribosomal RNA
Rfam family: Bacterial small subunit ribosomal RNA
Source: RNAcentral
AGUGAACGCUGGCGGUAGGCCUAACACAUGCAAGUCGAGCGGCAGCACAGUAAGAGCUUGCUCUUACGGGUGGCGAGUGGCGGACGGGUGAGGAAUACAUCGGAAUCUACUUUUUCGUGGGGGAUAACGUAGGGAAACUUACGCUAAUACCGCAUACGACCUACGGGUGAAAGCAGGGGAUCUUCGGACCUUGCGCGAUUGAAUGAGCCGAUGUCGGAUUAGCUAGUUGGCUGGGUAAAGGCCCACCAAGGCGACGAUCCGUAGCUGGUCUGAGAGGAUGAUCAGCCACACUGGAACUGAGACACGGUCCAGACUCCUACGGGAGGCAGCAGUGGGGAAUAUUGGACAAUGGGCGCAAGCCUGAUCCAGCCAUACCGCGUGGGUGAAGAAGGCCUUCGGGUUGUAAAGCCCUUUUGUUGGGAAAGAAAAGCAGCAGGUUAAUACCCCGCUGUUCUGACGGUACCCAAAGAAUAAGCACCGGCUAACUUCGUG